UGAAUACGAGACGCUAAGGCGUCGAAGUAGUGUAUGUCAUACUUCCAGGAAAAGCUUGCACUGUCAUAAGUAAAAAAUGCCUGUACCAUAACCGACACAGGUGGGUAGGUAGAGUAUACUAAGGGGCGCGAGAUAACUCUCUCUAAGGAACUCGGCAAAAUAACUCCGUAACUUCGGGAGAAGGAGUACCUUAUUCUAUAAGGUUGCAAUAACAAGAUCCAAGCAACUGUUUAUCAAAAACACAGGUCUCCGCUAAGUCGUAAGACGAUGCAUGGGGGCUGACGCCUGCCCAGUGCCAGAAGGUUAAAGAAGUCGGUUAGCAUUAGCGAAGCUGGUAACUGAAGCCCUGGUGAACGGCGGCCGUAACUAUAACGGUCCUAAGGUAGCGAAAUUCCUUGUCGGGUAAGUUCCGACCCGCACGAAAGGCGUAAUGAUUUGGAUACUGUCUCGGAGAGGGGCUCGGUGAAAUAGACUUGUCUGUGAAGAUGCGGACUACCUGCACCAGGACAGAAAGACCCUAUGAAGCUUUACUGUAACUUGAAAUUGAAAUUGGACUUUAUUCGCGCAGUAUAGGUGGGAGGUGUUGAUUAUAAUCUUGCGGGAUUAUUGGAGCCAUCAGUGAGAUACCACUCUUGUAAUGUUAGAUUUCUAACUUUGAAUCAUUAUCUGGUCAAAGGACAGUUUCAGGCGGGCAGUUUGACUGGGGCGGUCGCCUCCCAAACGGUAACGGAGGCGUACAAAGGUUUCCUCUGAACGGGUAGAAAUCGUAUCUAGAGUGUAAAGGCAUAAGGAAGCUUGACUGUGAGACCUACAAGUCGAACAGGGACGAAAGUCGGCCUUAGUGAUCUGACGGUACUGAGUGGAAAGGCCGUCACUCAACGGAUAAAAGUUACUCUAGGAUAACAGGCUGAUCUCCCCCAAGAGUUCACAUCGACGGGGAGGUUUGGCACCUCGAUGUCGGCUCAUCGCAUCCUGGGGCGGUAGUACGUCCCAAGGGUUGGGCUGUUCGCCCAUGAAAGCGGUACGCGAGCUGGGUUCAGAACGUCGUGAGACAGUUCGGUCCAUAUCCGGUGUAGGCGUUAGAAUAUUGAGAGGAGCCUUCUUUAGUACGAGAGGACCGAGAAGGACAUACCUCUGGUGUACCAGUUAUCGUGCCAACGGUAAACGCUGGGUAGCUAUGUAUGGAGUGGAUAACCGCUGAAAGCAUCUAAGUGGGAAGCCCACCUCAAGAUAAG
RNAcentral lists this ribosomal RNA (1235 nucleotides) under metagenome. RNAcentral's name for it is "bacterial LSU rRNA". It matches the Rfam family "Bacterial large subunit ribosomal RNA", at positions 1564 to 2808 of the family's 2925-position model. The record is from RNAcentral.